AUUUUGUCAUGGGAAGUCUAGAAAGCUGAAUUACUGCAAGGAAGCUUUCAGUCAUGCCUGGUAGGUCCUUUCUGUCUGAUGUCUGGUCCCCCAAUGAGUCGGGUUGACUCCGUUCUCAAAGACACUUGCAAAAAUGAUAGCACCCAGAUAGCUGCAGAAGUUUCAGCUAUGUAUUCACUGAGGUUCAAAUCCAUCAGCACAGAGGUCCUGCCUCUCUUUUCCCUAGCAUCUCCUGUAUAAGACGAUGUCAUUGGCUCUGACUGGAUUCUUACAUCCAAUAUAACACUUAAUCAUGUGGCCCAGGAAACAGACUUCAGGUGCAAGCCAUUUCUGGAGCCAAGGUUGAGGUUAUUACCAUAAGCCCUAUUAGGACAGCGAAUUCCAAACCCAUAACUGAGUCUUAUGAAAACAGCACUGCCUGUAAUGUUGAUGAAAAAUAUCAAAAGCAUUAUGAGGCCUUGAAGACUGCAUUAACAGUUUGAUUUCCAAACCUUGUCUGAGAGACUGCCAAAUUGCUUAUUUUCUCCAUUUCUCUCUAACAUUUUGUCACCUCACAGGCUUUCCAGAAUUCCAAGAAGGAAAAUAGAGCAUAUAAAGUCUGAGACACUCUGCUCAAAUAUUGAACAUCAACAUCAGCAGAGUACUUGCAACUCUGCAUACUACUCUCUCCUUACAACCAUCUAGACAGUCCAGGAGAGUGGGUAACAGACUACGGCCUGUGGGCCAAAGCUCAUAGGCAGAAGGAACUUGCCCUGUUUCAGAUGAGGCUUUGGACUGUGGACUUUUGAGUUAAUGACGAAAUGAAUUAAGACUUUGGGGGACUGUUGACAAGGCAUGAUUGGUUUUUGAACAUGAAGAUAUGAGAUUUGAGAGGGACCAGGGCCAGAAUGAUAUGGUUUGGCUCUGUGUCCCCACCCAAAUCUCAUCUUGUAUCUCCCAUAAUUCCCAUGCGUUGUGGGAGGGACCUGGUGGGAGAUGAUUGAAUCAUGGAGUGGAUCUUUCCUGUGCUGUUCGGAUAAUGAAUGGGUUUCAUGAGGUCUGACGGUUUUAAAUAUGGGAGUUUCCCUGAACAAGCUCUAUUCUCUUGACUGUGGUCUUGUGAGAUGUGCCUUUUACCUUCCACCAUGAUUGUGAGGCCUCCCCAGCUACAUAGAACUGUGAUUCCAAUAAAGCUCUUUGUUUUGUAAAUUGCCCAGUCCUCGGGUAUGUAUUUAUCAGCAGCAUGUAAAUGGGCUAGUACACAUUUACAUACUGCUAUGUUUGUUUUUGUGCUGCAGUGGCAGAGUUGAG
Molecule: long non-coding RNA, 1290 nt
Filed under: Homo sapiens (human)
Lineage: Eukaryota; Metazoa; Chordata; Mammalia; Primates; Hominidae
Description: HSALNT0050459
Source: RNAcentral